This 433-nucleotide ribosomal RNA is filed under the name uncultured bacterium. RNAcentral describes it as "partial 16S ribosomal RNA". It matches the Rfam family "Bacterial small subunit ribosomal RNA", at positions 29 to 507 of the family's 1533-position model. The record is from RNAcentral.
AACGAACGCUGGCGGCAUGCCUAACACAUGCAAGUCGAACGAGACCUUCGGGUGUAGUGGCGCACGGGUGCGUCACGCGUGGGAACCUGCCCUUAGGUUCGGAAUAACACCCCGAAAGGGGUGCUAAUACCGGAUAAUGUCCUCGGACCAAAGAUUUAUCGCCGUUGGAUGGGCACGCGUUGGAUUAGCUAGUUGGUAGGGUAAAAGCCUACCAAGGCGACGAUCCAUAGCUGGUCUGAGAGGAUGAGCAGCCACACUGGGAGUGAGACACGGCCCAGACUCCUACGGGAGGCAGCAGUGGGGAAUAUUGGACAAUGGGCGAAAGCCUGAUCCAGCAAUGCCGCGUGAGUGAUGAAGGCCUUAGGGUUGUAAAGCUCUUUUAACCGGGAGGAUAAUGACAGUACCGGGAGAAUAAGCCCCGGCUAACUCCGUG